Molecule: long non-coding RNA, 1002 nt
Organism: Betta splendens (Siamese fighting fish)
Lineage: Eukaryota; Metazoa; Chordata; Actinopteri; Anabantiformes; Osphronemidae
Exons: 3
Source: RefSeq, a predicted model, not a curated record
UUUUAAAUUUAAUUCACGGGCUGUUGCAAAGUAGAGCAGUAAACAAAUGUGAACCAGAUGUUAAGGAGAUUUUUAAUGCAUGCACGAAUACAAGUCAAACACAGAUGAAAUACAAAUGCAUGCUGUGCUUUGUAUUCGACAGAGGUCUGGACGCUGUCGUUGGAUCCUCUCCCUUUGCCGCUGUGCUCACCAAAUGGGAGCACAAACAAUGGCGCAUGCAGCUACAGAUAUCCUUCAUUCUGUGAAAUAUGCCAGUAUCUGUGCUCUGUUAUGGAAAAGCGGCUCGUCAGACAGUAUACAGGACCGAGAAGAUUUGCGUUGGGACUGGUUGGAAGUGAGGAAACUGGACCCGUCAGCUGAUGCACCACUGGGAGACUGACACUGUGUCAACUAGAUUAAUCAGCGGCAAUAAUGCAAAGCACUGCAUAAUUCGGCCACUGAAGGUGCACGUACAGUCGAAAGAAUCCAUAUAAUUACUGAUCAACAGCGCCGUCAGUCGUCUGAGUGAACACCUCUGUAUUUAGGAAAGCGUGAAAUUAAAACUGCUGUUCCAUUUCCUGACCUGUCCAGGGAGUAGCCUGCCUUCAGCCCAGUGACAGAGGGACUGCCCCCCCCCAACCCUUAACAGAAAAGGCAGUUUGGCUAAUGGAUGGAUGGCUGUUCAAUUUUAUGCUGAUUCAUCCUGCAGGAUUAACUGGACUCGUUUCAAAGUUGCAAUUUGGUGUUGAAAUAGCUCAUAAUAGAUGAUUUACAUGUUGUUUUGGGGAAAUGGUAAAACUGUGGUUUUACAACAAUGUGUUACAAUCUCACUAACCCACCGAAAAACAAAAUGGCUGAACUACGAACUAAACAGCUGCUAAGGCCGAGGCAGACUAACAAAGUUUGUAGAAACUGGACUAGACUUCAACCAACCAAAUAAGAAAUAAUUGAAUAUUUAAUUUAUUGAAGCAAAAAUAUAAAGAAAAAGUACAAAAUCAACAUAAACAAUGCAUUAAAGCAACU